UAUACACAUUGCAAGUCGAACGGCAGCACAGGAGAGCUUGCUCUCUGGGUGGCGAGUGGCGGACGGGUGAGGAAUACAUCGGAAUCUACUCUGUCGUGGGGGAUAACGUAGGGAAACUUACGCUAAUACCGCAUACGACCUACGGGUGAAAGCAGGGGACCUUCGGGCCUUGCGCGAUUGAAUGAGCCGAUGUCGGAUUAGCUAGUUGGCGGGGUAAAGGCCCACCAAGGCGACGAUCCGUAGCUGGUCUGAGAGGAUGAUCAGCCACACUGGAACUGAGACACGGUCCAGACUCCUACGGGAGGCAGCAGUGGGGAAUAUUGGACAAUGGGCGCAAGCCUGAUCCAGCCAUACCGCGUGGGUGAAGAAGGCCUUCGGGUUGUAAAGCCCUUUUGUUGGGAAAGAAAUCCAGCCGGCUAAUACCCGGUUGGGAUGACGGUACCCAAAGAAUAAGCACCGGCUAACUUCGUGCCAGCAGCCGCGGUAAUACGAAGGGUGCAAGCGUUACUCGGAAUUACUGGGCGUAAAGCGUGCGUAGGUGGUCGUUUAAGUCCGUUGUGAAAGCCCUGGGCUCAACCUGGGAACUGCAGUGGAUACUGGACGACUAGAAUGUGGUAGAGGGUAGCGGAAUUCCUGGUGU
Molecule: ribosomal RNA, 640 nt
Filed under: Stenotrophomonas pavanii
Lineage: Bacteria; Pseudomonadati; Pseudomonadota; Gammaproteobacteria; Lysobacterales; Lysobacteraceae
Description: bacterial SSU rRNA
Rfam family: Bacterial small subunit ribosomal RNA
Source: RNAcentral